This 253-nucleotide ribosomal RNA is filed under the name uncultured bacterium. RNAcentral's name for it is "partial 16S ribosomal RNA". It matches the Rfam family "Bacterial small subunit ribosomal RNA", at positions 524 to 776 of the family's 1533-position model. The record is from RNAcentral.
UACGGAGGAUCCAAGCGUUAUCCGGAAUCAUUGGGUUUAAAGGGUCCGUAGGCGGUUUUGUAAGUCAGUGGUGAAAGCCCAUCGCUCAACGGUGGAACGGCCAUUGAUACUGCAAGACUUGAAUUAUUGGGAAGUAACUAGAAUAUGUAGUGUAGCGGUGAAAUGCUUAGAGAUUACAUGGAAUACCAAUUGCGAAGGCAGGUUACUACCAAUAUAUUGACGCUGAUGGAUGAAAGCGUGGGGAGCGAACAGG